AUGGUGCAGGGACGCCAGGGCCAGCGCGUCAGGCUCUACGUGCGGGGCACCAUCCUGGGCUACAAGAGGUCCAAGUCGAACCAGUACGAGAGCACGUCGCUGCUGCAGGUGGAGGGGGUGAACACCAAGGAGGACGUGUCGUACUACGCCGGCAAGCGCAUCGCCUACGUCUACAAGGCCAAGACCAAGAGCAGCGGCACCGCCGUCCGCUGCAUCUGGGGCAAGGUCACGCGCCCCCACGGCAACUCCGGCGUCGUGCGCGCGCAGUUCCGCUCCAACCUCCCCGCCACCUCCAUGGGCAAGAAGGUCCGCGUCUUCAUGUACCCCAGCAGCACCUGA
This 339-nucleotide ribosomal RNA is filed under the name Triticum aestivum (bread wheat). RNAcentral describes it as "partial small subunit ribosomal RNA". The record is from RNAcentral. Lineage: Eukaryota; Viridiplantae; Streptophyta; Magnoliopsida; Poales; Poaceae.